CUCAAUUAUUGUCUUUUUCCAGUGACUUCCUUUCCUCCUUCAAAAGCAUGCUCAAAAGGCAGUGUUUUUGAGAGACUGAAGAGGACACAAGAGGUGAAUAACAAUAUUAACAAUGCUUCUGUCAGUCACACUAUGUUAAUUGCACAUGAAUCCAAUUAUAGCAGUAACGGAAAAUCAUUUCGUAAGAACAUAGUACAAUUACCUAUUAAGGAGACAUCACUAGUGACUGCAGAAAAUACCCUCUCACAAAGCUGUGUUUCCUCUUUGGAUGUAGAUGAAGAGAACUUAACAUAUGGCGAACAGAAUGAAACACCAAAUAAGAAACGCCAGACUAAUUAUAAGUGUGAAGAUACUAUGCAGCAUGUUCCAAGUUCCUCUGUAGUUUUUCAUGAUUCUCCUGUGCAAACAAGACGCUUUAGUCCCCUUAAGUCUGGAUUUCAUCAGCGCGUUCUUUUUACUUCCCCAGCUAAAAAUUCUGAUGUUGAAGAUAAGAUAUCAAAAGUGGAAAAGCUAUGUGAGAAAAUAUAUGUUCGAUUAGAAGAAAUUAAUAAGAAGACAGAUAAAAUUAUUAUGAAUCAAGAAAGGCUCAACAAGUCUCUUUUAGUGCGAUUAUUUCAGUUCUUUUAUCACAUCCAAGGAUGUAGCCAAAUCUACUGUCAAAAUUGCUGUAAAAGUUCUUACAAACUCUAUGGCAUCCACAAUGAGUUUUAAAGGGCAGAACACAAAAAAACCCUUUUAUAAAUUGAAGAUAUGGGAGGCCAUACAAGGUUCAAUAUUGAUCAAAUUUGAUGACACAGUACUUUUCAAAGCAGAAGAAACCAUGAAAACAUGGUUGGCCAAUGCUCCACGGCGUAAACAAGAUAAUGAAACUUACGGGAAAAAGUGUAUGAAAAGAAAAUUAGAAGUAAACACUGCAAAGUAGUUGGGCAAAAUGUUUAUGUUUUAUAACUUUUUUUAUUUGUUAUUUCUAAUAUUUUUGACUAAGA
Non-coding RNA from Linepithema humile (Argentine ant), 986 nucleotides. The record is from RefSeq and is a predicted model, not a curated record. NCBI's taxonomy places the organism in Eukaryota, Metazoa, Arthropoda, Insecta, Hymenoptera, Formicidae.